GAUGAACGCUGGCGGCGUGCCUAAUACAUGCAAGUCGAGCGAACAGACGAGGAGCUUGCUCCUCUGACGUUAGCGGCGGACGGGUGAGUAACACGUGGAUAACCUACCUAUAAGACUGGGAUAACUUCGGGAAACCGGAGCUAAUACCGGAUAAUAUGUUGAAUCGCAUGGUUCAACAGUGAAAGACGGUCUUGCUGUCACUUAUAGAUGGAUCCGCGCCGCAUUAGCUAGUUGGUAAGGUAACGGCUUACCAAGGCAACGAUGCGUAGCCGACCUGAGAGGGUGAUCGGCCACACUGGUACUGAGACACGGUCCAGACUCCUACGGGAGGCAGCAGUAGGGAAUCUUCCGCAAUGGGCGAAAGCCUGACGGAGCAACGCCGCGUGAGUGAAGAAGGUCUUCGGAUCGUAAAACUCUGUUAUUAGGGAAGAACAAAUGUGUAAGUAACUAUGCACGUCUUGACGGUACCUAAUCAGAAAGCCACGGCUAACUACGUG
This 497-nucleotide ribosomal RNA is filed under the name uncultured bacterium. Its description in RNAcentral is "partial 16S ribosomal RNA". It matches the Rfam family "Bacterial small subunit ribosomal RNA", at positions 28 to 507 of the family's 1533-position model. The record is from RNAcentral.